UGCAGCUUCGUCAAAUUCAGGACCACCUGAAGUGGUGACUCCUGGCCAAUGGGCUGCUACAGGAGCUUGUAGUUCAUGGGCCUCACGUCCUCUCUGGUGGGAUGUGGGGAUAUAUGUGCUGCAGACACUG
Molecule: small nucleolar RNA, 130 nt
Organism: Bufo bufo (common toad)
Lineage: Eukaryota; Metazoa; Chordata; Amphibia; Anura; Bufonidae
Product: small nucleolar RNA SNORA5
Exons: 1
Source: RefSeq, a predicted model, not a curated record